Brassica napus (rape) is the source of this 1035-nucleotide long non-coding RNA. RefSeq lists it as uncharacterized. The transcript is spliced from 2 exons. The record is from RefSeq and is a predicted model, not a curated record. Lineage: Eukaryota; Viridiplantae; Streptophyta; Magnoliopsida; Brassicales; Brassicaceae.
GAAAGAGAGAUUCUUUGAGUUGAGAUUACACAUUACAUUAGAGUCAUGGGAGUAUUCACAAUGUUCUCCUUUUAAGCAUGAGCCAUGGAUAAAGAACUUGCAGAGUAUCCUGUUAACAAACAAAGAAAAGAUCAUUGAAUCAUCAUCAAGAAACCAAGAAGCUCCAAUGAUCAAUCAAAAGAGUCAAACUUUGUUCUCCAGAAACCAAGAAGCUCAAGUAAUCAAUCAAAAAGAGUCAAACUUUGUCAUCAAGAAACCAAGAAGCUCCACUAAUCAAUCAAAAGAGUCAAACUUUAUCCUCCAGAAACCGUAGCAGCUCAAGUAAUCAAUCAAAAGGGGAUUGAAAGACUUAACAUAGGUUGAAGAACAGAGCCCUUGAGAGAUGAAGAAGUUUAGAUUUACCUGUCGGACAUGUGGGGAUUGUGCGAGGAAGAAGGGAUUCAAAGAAAAGGUGAGGGAAAGAGAAAGAGAAAGAAUCACAAUGAAAGGUGAAAGCUUUUUAUAUUUGGAGAAUUUUCAGAGAUUUUUUUCUACGGUUUUUCAAUUUUUGAGGGAAGUUUUUAUUUAGAUCUCUUCAUUUUCGUCUUUACUAAAUUAUCUUUUUUUCUAUUGGUGAAAAAACACACAAAACAAAAAUCUAAAUUGCUUUCAGAAAUAAUAGAUUCAAAUAUUCUUUUCAUUUCCAAAAGUAAAAUUUUAAAGAUUUUUUUAGUUUCAUAAAAAUGAAUUUUCUAUAUUUUAAUAUGUUUCGUAUACUUAUAAGAAAUAUUAAUUAGAUGUCAAAUUUUUAAAUUGAAUGAUAAUAAUUAUUAAAAAGCUUUAUGAUAAAAAUAAAUAAUAAAUAAUUAUAAAUAUUUAUUGUAUUCUAGAUAAUAGUGUUGAACAACUAUAUGUAUGUAUACAAACACAACACAGGAGACAAGACCAGCUCUCUCUCUUGCCUUUUACUCCACAUAUAUUACAAACAUUCUCUCUCACACACUGUUACAAACACACACACACACACAUGCACACACCAAAUCCUUGCAACCAAGU